GUGCUCGCUUCGGCAGCACAUACACUAAAAUUGGAAUGAUACAGAGAAGAUUAGCAUGGCCCCUGUGCAAGGAUGACACGAAAAUUCGUGAAGCGUUUCAUAUUUUU
Molecule: small nuclear RNA, 107 nt
Filed under: Meriones unguiculatus (Mongolian gerbil)
Lineage: Eukaryota; Metazoa; Chordata; Mammalia; Rodentia; Muridae
Source: RNAcentral